Molecule: ribosomal RNA, 2660 nt
Filed under: Niphargus gallicus
Lineage: Eukaryota; Metazoa; Arthropoda; Malacostraca; Amphipoda; Niphargidae
Description: eukaryotic LSU rRNA
Rfam family: Eukaryotic large subunit ribosomal RNA (bases 2196-2660)
Source: RNAcentral
GGAAGUAAAAGUAGUAACAAGGUUUCCGUAGGUGAACCUGCGGAAGGAUCAUUAACGAUUUGCACAAAAAGCAAAAGAACCGUGAAAAGUUGUGGAUGAAACUCCUGACGAGCUCAGGAAGGAUCCGUGGUUGUGUUAGUUACCAACUCCUGCUGACGAGAUCAGGAGAGAGGAGGAUAACGACCAACACACACGCAUGAGGGAAAAGGAGUCGCUUAAACCAGCAGUUCGCAAGAAAGAAUCUCUUUCUUAGUUUGGUGAAUACCUACUGACGAGCUCAGGAAGGAUUCUAGUCGCCGGGUUAGCUACCGGCUUCUCUCCUGACGACAUAGGGAGAGAGGUGGUGGCCCGAUAGACCUUCGACACCAAAUGAACUGCUGUGUUUCCAUGUCAAUCCUACUGACGAGCUCAGCAAGGAUCCGUGGGUGUGUUAGUUACCAACUCCUGCUGACGAGAUCAGGAGAGAGGAGGAUAACGACCAACACACACGCAUGAGGGAAAAGGAGUCGCUUAAACCAGCAGUUCGCAAGAAAGAAUCUCUUUCUUAGUUUGGUGAAUACCUACUGACGAGCUCAGGAAGGAUUCUAGUCGCCGGGUUAGCUACCGGCUUCUCUCCUGACGACAUAGGGAGAGAGGUGGUGGCCCGAUAGACCUUCGACACCAAAUGAACUGCUGUGUUUCCAUGUCAAUCCUACUGACGAGCUCAGCAAGGAUCCGUGGGUGUGUUAGUUACCAACUCCUGCUGACGAGAUCAGGAGAGAGGAGGAUAACGACCAACACACACGCAUGAGGGAAAAGGAGUCGCUUAAACCAGCAGUUCGCAAGAAAGAAUCUCUUUCUUAGUUUGGUGAAUACCUACUGACGAGCUCAGGAAGGAUUCUAGUCGCCGGGUUAGCUACCGGCUUCUCUCCUGACGACAUAGGGAGAGAGGUGGUGGCCCGAUAGACCUUCGACACCAAAUGAACUGCUGUGUUUCCAUGUCAAUCCUACUGACGAGCUCAGCAAGGAUCCGUGGGUGUGUUAGUUACCAACUCCUGCUGACGAGAUCAGGAGAGAGGAGGAUAACGACUAACACACACACACACACACACACACACUCAGCACACACCCCUGACGAGCUCAGGGAGGAUCAAUGCUCACGCAUCAUCUUGGUCGUGGUACUCCCAUUCCACGGACGAUGUAAAACAAACACCCUUUGGCCUCAUAUAUUAUUAUCUCUCGCCAUGGUAUACAGGCCUGGCACCUGGUACGAGACUCUCGUAGUCUUCAAACCAACUUACAACUCUGAGCGGUGGAUCACUUGGCUUGUGGAUGCUAUGAAGACCAUAGCUAAGUGUGAGAAUGGCAGCGAGCCGUCGCUAUAUGCGCUGUCCUCUUCUUAUCACAUGUCGAAUGCACAUUGCGCCCCACCCAGUGGUCGGCUAAACAACCUGCAGACAAAAGCCUGUGCGUUGGAACAAAGGUGAAUGUGUGGCCUCCGAGCCUCGGCGGGGGAGCCAGGAGCACAGGAUCGUGCGUUUCAGCCACUCGUUAGUAGUCAGGCUGAACCCUAUGGUGGGGCACUCCUAGUCGAGUGUGGUGGAUCGGACUCAUCUCUUACCUCACCGCCGAGUGUGUGUGAGUGCAGAGAGCUUGAGUUUCUUUGUUGCUUGGUGGCAUUUGGGUCGACAUCAGUCGUGCCUGUGAACAAACUGCCUUGGCUCGAGCCUCUGUGCGUAUCCUCACGUAGGUGCGUGCAUUGAAGGCCAUAGCUGGCGAUCUCUCUUGCGGCCAGGGCACCGAGCAUUCGGUGCGCAGCGGUCCAAAAGGCUUUUACGGGAGUGUGUGUCGAAUUCUCAGCAUAUCACCAGCGCGUUGUCUUGGCAACAGGUGCUCUGGAAUUAAGUGUUUCUCUGGUGAAGGUUCGUUGCUCUCGUAGUAUUCGGGAAUGAUGACGCCUUAACAUUUUCACCGCUCGCUCGCACUGUCUGUCUGUCUGAUAAUCCUCCUGACGAGCUCAGGAAGGAUCCAUGGGUGUGUGUUGGUUACCUACUCCUGCUGACGAGAUCAGGAGAGAGAUAGGAUCAUAACGACACAAGCCCUUAGCAUGGUGAAAAAAGAGCCGGAGAAACAAAGCACUUGUUGGCACAAAGGUAACGUGAAAAGUCGCUGGAAUGGGCGAGAGUUGCAGACGCACACUCUGAUUUGCAUUGCCACCACCUCGACUUAGGAGAGGUUACCCGCUGAACUUAAGCAUAUCAGUAAGCGGAGGAAAAGAAACCAAUCAGGGAUUCCCUUAGUAGGGGCGACCGAAAAGGGAUGAGCCCAGCGCAGAACCUCCCGGGCCACCCGGCCUGCGGCGGAAUGUUGCGUUAAGGGAAAGGUCGUAGUCAAACCCCACAGCCACGCGAGCACUAAGUAAGUCACGAAUUGGCUGACCCAACUAACGGCGGGGAUGUCUCCAUGGAGGGUGUAAGACCCGUGUGGGCGCGUGUAAAUGCUGUGUGGGCUCGGCCUCUUUUCCCUGAGAGUCGCGUUGCUUGAGCAUGCAGCGCUAAGCAGGUCGUAAACUCGAUCUAAGGCUAAAUAUAUCCACAAGACCGAUAGCGAACAAGUACCGUGAGGGAAAGUUGAAAAGCACUCUGAAGAGAGAGUCAAAAGACCGUGAAACCGCUCAGAGU